RNAcentral lists this ribosomal RNA (253 nucleotides) under uncultured bacterium. Its description in RNAcentral is "partial 16S ribosomal RNA". It matches the Rfam family "Bacterial small subunit ribosomal RNA", at positions 524 to 776 of the family's 1533-position model. The record is from RNAcentral.
UACGUAGGGUGCGAGCGUUGUCCGGAUUUAUUGGGCGUAAAGGGCGCGUAGGCGGACUGACAAGUCGGGGGUGAAAUCCCGAGGCUCAACCUCGGAACUGCCUUCGAUACUGUCAGUCUUGAGGUCGGGAGAGGUGAGUGGAACUCCGAGUGUAGAGGUGAAAUUCGUAGAUAUUCGGAAGAACACCAGUGGCGAAGGCGGCUCACUGGCCCGAUUCUGACGCUGAGGCGCGAAAGCGUGGGGAGCAAACAGG